CCUACGGGAGGCAGCAGUGGGGGAUAUUGCACAAUGGGGGAAACCCUGAUGCAGCGACGCCGCGUGGGUGAAGAAGCGCCUCGGCGCGUAAAGCUCUGUCAGCAGGGAAGAAAAUGACGGUACCUGCAGAAGAAGACGCGGCUAACUACGUGCCAGCAGCCGCGGUAAUACGUAGGGGGCAAGCGUUAUCCGGAUUUACUGGGUGUAAAGGGGGCGCAGACGGCGAUGCAAGCCAGGAGUGAAAGCACGGGGCCCAACCCCGGGACUGCUCUUGAAACUGCGUGGCGAGAGUGCAGGAGGGGUAGGCGGAAUGCCUGGUGUAGCGGUGAAAUGCGUAGAUAUCAGGAGGAACACCAGUGGCGAAGGCGGCCUGCUGGACUGCAACUGACGUUGAGGCCCGAAAGCGUGGGGAGCAAACAGGAUUAGAUACCCGUGUAGUC
RNAcentral lists this ribosomal RNA (440 nucleotides) under uncultured bacterium. Its description in RNAcentral is "partial 16S ribosomal RNA". It matches the Rfam family "Bacterial small subunit ribosomal RNA", at positions 338 to 795 of the family's 1533-position model. The record is from RNAcentral.